This 468-nucleotide ribosomal RNA is filed under the name Klebsiella pneumoniae. RNAcentral's name for it is "partial 23S ribosomal RNA". It matches the Rfam family "Bacterial large subunit ribosomal RNA", at positions 1 to 508 of the family's 2925-position model. Lineage: Bacteria; Pseudomonadati; Pseudomonadota; Gammaproteobacteria; Enterobacterales; Enterobacteriaceae. The record is from RNAcentral. RNAcentral also lists the same sequence under 3 other names.
GGUUAAGCGACUAAGCGUACACGGUGGAUGCCCUGGCAGUCAGAGGCGAUGAAGGACGUGCUAAUCUGCGAAAAGCGUCGGUAAGGUGAUAUGAACCGUUAUAGCCGGCGAUGUCCGAAUGGGGAAACCCAGUGCAAUUCGUUGCACUAUCGUUAACUGAAUACAUAGGUUAACGAGGCGAACCGGGGGAACUGAAACAUCUAAGUACCCCGAGGAAAAGAAAUCAACCGAGAUUCCCCCAGUAGCGGCGAGCGAACGGGGAGCAGCCCAGAGUCUGAAUCAGCUUGUGUGUUAGUGGAACGGUCUGGAAAGUCCGACGGUACAGGGUGAUAGUCCCGUACACCAAAAUGCACAGGCUGUGAACUCGAAGAGUAGGGCGGGACACGUGGUAUCCUGUCUGAAUAUGGGGGGACCAUCCUCCAAGGCUAAAUACUCCUGACUGACCGAUAGUGAACCAGUACCGUGAGG